GUCUGAUUAGCUAGUUGGUGGGGUAACGGCCCACCAAGGCUACGAUCGGUAGCUGGUCUGAGAGGAUGAUCAGCCUCACUGGGACUGAGACACGGCCCAGACUCCUACGGGAGGCAGCAGUGGGGAGUAUUGGACAAUGGGCGCAAGCCUGAUCCAGCCAUGCCGCGUGGGUGAUGAAGGCCCUAGGGUUGUAAAGCCCUUUCGACGGGAACGAUAAUGACGGUACCCGGAGAAGAAGCUGCGGCUAACUACGUGCCAGCAGCCGCGGUAAUACGUAGGCAGCGAGCGUUGUUCGGAAUUACUGGGCGUAAAGAGUGUGUAGGCGGUGUUCCCAGUCUGUUGUGAAAUCUCCCGGCUUAACUGGGAGGGUGCAGCGGAAACUAGAAUGCUAGAGGGUGGGAGAGGUAAGCGGAAUUCCUGGUGUAGCGGUGAAAUGCGUAGAUAUCAGGAGGAACACCUGUGGUGUAGACAGCUUACUGGACCACUUCUGACGCUGAGACACGAAAGCGUGGGUAGCA
This 518-nucleotide ribosomal RNA is filed under the name uncultured bacterium. RNAcentral's name for it is "bacterial SSU rRNA". It matches the Rfam family "Bacterial small subunit ribosomal RNA", at positions 235 to 770 of the family's 1533-position model. The record is from RNAcentral.